Molecule: non-coding RNA, 3114 nt
Organism: Cricetulus griseus (Chinese hamster)
Lineage: Eukaryota; Metazoa; Chordata; Mammalia; Rodentia; Cricetidae
Source: RefSeq, a predicted model, not a curated record
GGAGGAGGAGACAGGCAAGGCCCUUUUAAAAGGGAACAUAGUGAAUGUGCACAGGUGCUCUUAGUGGCUGCAGCUGAGGAUGGAUCCUGUCAGAACACUAAAGGCAGACCAGUACAGAUUCCUGAAUACUAACAGUUCUUUUAAAGAUUUAUUAUUUUUAUUUUAUGUGCUUUUCCUGCAUGAAUGUCUGUGUAUCAUAUGUGUUCACUGCUUGCAGAGGUCAGAAGAAGGUAUCAGAUCCCCUGGAACUAGAGUUACAGAUGGUUGUUGUCAUGUGGGUGCUGGGAUUCCAAUGCGGAUGGGUUCUGGAAGAACAGUCAAUGUUUCUAACCACCAAACUAUCUCUCCAGCCCCUCCAUCCAGUUCCUAGAAUGUGAGUGUAGAGGAGUAAGCCUGGCCUCUCUGCUCUGGUGCAGAUGUAACUAUCAAUGUGCUCCAGCUGUUGCUAUCUGCCCAUCACCGUGAGAUAAGUCAGGACUUUCAGCCACCAAAAACUUCGAGCUCAAUUCUUGCUUCAAAAGUAUCCUGCGCAAGUCACUUCAGUAUACUAAUACACCCCCAAACAAUUAUAUACAGAGCAAAAUAUGAUGAAAAAAAUCAAACAUGCAUUUACCAAUCAGAAUUGUUUCUGAAUGUUUUCCCUGCAGAUAUUAUGAAUGAUUUAGAUUACAGAUAUGUGUCUUUGGUUUCCACUCCUCAGUGGUAGCAGGCAAUGAUGAAUUAAGGACAAGGUCUAGAACUUCUACAUAUUAGCACAGAAUGAUUUAAUUAAGCAAUAAAUCAAAAAUUAAGUUUCCAUUGUUUCUAAGUUGACUAAAGCUUAAAAAUAGUGAAAUAUAGUGAAAUUACUUAUAAGUUCCAUAAAGUCAAGAUCACAUCUAUUUGGAUAAUUGCAAUCACCCAAAAACUUCAAUUAUAAAUUUAUUUCAAUUUCUCUCCAGGUACAGCUAAUAAAAUAACCCAGUUACUCUAUUAGUUCUAAAUUUUUAUAAGCCGGUAUGUAAUCAUUUAUACAGUGCUAGAGCUCUGAGCUCCAACAUGUAAGUCACCUGUGAGUAAACAACUGUCGCUAUAAUUAAAAAUCACACUCCCCUCAGUUCCAGAACUGAGUCGUUUUUUUUUUUUUUUUUUUUUACAUAAGUAAGUAUUGCAUUGUGUAUACACAUUACACAAACAAAAAUGUAAGGUUUCCAACAGCUACCUUUACAUCAGAUUAUGAUUCUUUAAACACAACAGGUGGAAAGUUCUCACUCAAUGCUCAUAGGACUCCUUGCAUUUACUGCCAAGCCAUACAAAGAAAGCCAACACAAAGAAAUUCCAAAAUGAGGGAAUUCUAAAGCUUACAGCAUGAAAACAGUGUCUUAUUAGACAGAGCUCACAAACUGUUUGAGAAGCCCUUAGUGACUGCAAUUGCAAGACAAAACAAACAAACCAAAAACAAAAACAAAAACAAAAACAAAAACAAACCCAAAAACCAAAAAACCUUUACUAUCAGUGACAUGUUUAAAAUCUACCAUUAAGCACAAAACAAGUUCAAAUAAUCUGUUUUACAUCCACUUGUGGUCCUUGCUCCUUCAAUUGUUGUUGCCUUUUGGUUAUGGAUUUCCCACUGAUACAGUGUGCUUAGGCACACACCCUCAGAGUCCUCUGUGGGUGGAGAUGAUAAAGAUGCUAAAAGGCCAAAUACAUACCACCAAAGCAGGGCUGGGCAGGGGAGACAAACAAGUCACAGCUGUGCUGCCUCACAAUUAUCCAAACAGCCUUGUCCAGAUCAGUGGUUUCCAAACAUGUCUACACAUGGGAAUGACCUGCGGAGUCAAAAUACUAUUGAUGCCUACGGCCCAUCCUCAGAAGUGGUGAUUUAAUUGGUCUGGAACCUGGCCUGUGAAUUAGAAUUUUAUAGACCAUCAUUAGACUCUGCCUACAGAAAAGUUUGAGAACAAGUGAUCUAUAUAUUAUUCUAUUACAUUUUUGACAAAUUAGGUUCAUCUGAAGUUUAGCAUGUCUCUUUUAAUACUCUCAUACCAUUUGGAAAAAUGUAAGGAGCAACUAUUUGUUCUGUGAAGGUAAACAAAGAUACAAAAGCGAGAACACAAAUUAUGUGCUAUUGUCACAAGAACAUAAGGUGGGAAGAACAAAGGCAGAAAGGAUUUAGCUUCAUAAAGUUUUUUCAUGACAAGAAUUACCCCUCGGUGGUUUCUCAAAGCCAAACCAUCCUGAAACUGGACAGAAGAAUUGGGGACCAAGACCUACAAUAUCCUGGGAUUAAGUGAUGACCCAGCUUCCACCUCAUCAGAUAGAGCCCAGGCUGCAGCUGGAAGGAAGGCCAAGCGAUCCUAUCCUCUACAUGAACAAACCUGUGUGAGAUACUGAGUUCAUUAAUGUUCUCGUUGGCAGACAUCUAAGUGACUUCGAGGCAGCCAAGUGGAAUUGCAGGUUUGAUUUACUGGAGAGAUACAAGUCAAGUUAUGCAGACAAAAGCAUCUUUUUUUUUUCCCUUAAUAUCAGCCUCAGGCUCUAUGUCCAGACCUUGUAAUUGUUUUUUUUUUGUUGUUGUUGUUAUUGUUUUCUUUUUCUUUUUGCCACAGUGAGGUUCAGUUGUGUUUUUCUGCCACUGCUCCUCCUCUUGUGGGGACACAGCUAUCCAGACUAAAGGAGAAAGAACAACAGCUUGAAAAGUUCAAAGCAUCAAAUUAAGUAAUGGGAAUACUGAGUGUCUUCACCACAAAAUAAAGAAUGAAAAGCCCCCACACAACAGCCUAACAUCUUCUUUGUUAUGCAAGUUCGAAGAAAACAGGCCAAGCACUUUGAAGACACACAAAAAAUAUGAUUUUAGUAAAGAGAAGAUAGUUAACAGCAAGGCUGAUGGGCAAGUUCAUGCACUGCCAUCAGGCUGGUGAAAACAGUCAAUCUGUGCUUCUCAUGUUUCAGAAAAAAACCUAGUGUACUGGAUGGCCAUGAACACUGAUGCUAACAACCACAGUGUCAGCCCUCCCCCAAGACUCUCAGUACCAAAGCAUUCACUCAUGUUUGUUCUGCUUACAGAUUGUUGCUAAGAUGGCACCUGUAUCUGUUAUUUUUCUAUUGCUGUAAUAAAACACCACAGUCAUUUAA